RNAcentral lists this long non-coding RNA (466 nucleotides) under Coturnix japonica (Japanese quail). RNAcentral describes it as "lncRNA (ENSCJPG00005004159.1)". The record is from RNAcentral. Lineage: Eukaryota; Metazoa; Chordata; Aves; Galliformes; Phasianidae.
UUUUGUUCAUGGGUUGCAUUGCUGGCUGUACAAGUACCUUGCAACGAGUUCCAAACCAGGCUGGAAUGAGGAAUAUUUAAUUGGAUUAAAAAAAAUUGCCGUCUGCUUCAAGUGAAAGUCAACAGAAUGAGUCCCUGAGAAGCCUGGUCACGGUGAUGACCACUGUAAACACAGAAGUCAUAGACUGAAUUUUGGGCCCUGUUUGGGUUCUUUUGCAGUGGGGGAGGGGGAUGACUAUCAUAGAAUCCUAGAAUCAUAGAAUUACCCAGAUUGGAAAAGACCCUGAAGAUCAUCAAGUCCAACCACAGCCUAACCAUAGUACCCUAACUCUAACAACCAUCUGCUAAAUCAUAUCCCUGAGCACCACAUCCAAAUGGCUCUUAAACACAUCCAGGUAUGGUGACUAUAUUAACUACUAAAAUAAUUCCUGAAAGUUUGCAUGUUUGAAAAGGCUAAAGCUGGGGAG